GGGCUCAAGAGAUCCUCCUGCCUCAGCCUCCCAAGUAGCUGGGACUACAGGUAUGAGGCACUACACCCUGCUCAGGUCCGGCCUGGCAUGUGCAGGUGGUUAAAUGUCUCCAUCUGAUAUUUACCUGAGUAUAUUGCUCAAAUUUUGGAAGAGCCUUCUAGCUUUUCAAAUAACAUUUAUGCAUCCAUGGAGACCUGAAAUUCUCCUUCGAGUGGCAAAAGGAUUUUCUAUCAAAACACCAAGAAGGAGCAGGACCUCAGAGCCAUCCCAAGUGGAGUCACUAUCUUCCAAAUCUCAGAAGUAUUCUGACGACAGAGGCAUAGUGGAAAAGUUCCUGAAAAGUGAUGGAGAAAAACUGGGAGAAAGCAGACUUCUCAACCAUUUGCAAAAUUGAUUAAAUAAGGCUUUUUUUCUUUCUUUCUUGUUCAGGGGCUAACACUUCUAACUAAGGAUUGGGGCAUCUUGAAUACAGCUCUGACAAAUGGCACUUAGGAUCCCAGUUAUUCCUGUAAUUGGCAUUCUGUGAUUUCUUCAAUCUGUUUUCUUUAAUACGAUUUUUUAAAAAAUGUAACCACCAGAGGGCGUAGGACAUUACAUUUCAAAGGGCUUAAAUUUAUGUUUCAGCCACUAACUCAAUCUCCCUAAGCACACUUGAAAGGUGGAACCCUCUGCUACACAAUGGAGCCUUUUUCGUGUUCUCCUUGCCCAACCCUUCCGUGCUGAACUCAAGUCCUUCACCAAAUCCGCUGCCUCUUUAAAGCUUCCAUCAGCAGCAUCAUUUCUGCUGUUUGCCGAAGCGGUUUUCUUACCGAAUAGAUUGAAUUUUUUUUUUAACAUUCUACUUUCAUUAAAUUAAGCUAUCCCUUAUUCCUUGAUUUGGGUCACGUAAAGUUCAAGGCAAUAGUGAAUUAUUUCGGGGCUCUUCGGUUUGUAUGCUUAUGCCAACAGGACAUUCCUCUACCUAAAACACAAGGAAAGCAUUUGUAAAGCCUUUUUGCCAGGUGCUCACUAACCACAUCUCCCUGUCGCUUUAUGAACAUUCUCUCCCAGUUCCUGUGUGUGUGGAUGUGCGUAAAAAACUUUACACUGGCUCAUCACUUCUCUGUUAACCCUUCAGACUUAGCGCCCCGGGUCAAGAUUAGCAGCCUAUGUUUUGACAGACUUGAAAAUUCUUAUUUGUGUCACUACAUCAUUCAAAAGUGACUCUCAGCUCUUAGUUUUCAUAUAAUCUCCUCCAGAGCAUUGAAUGCCUGUGUCUAGGAGAUCCAUGCCUUACCGAAUUCACGUACCCUUAUUAUUAGGCAAUGGACUCUUUGAAAAGCUCAAAUAUGGCAUGCAAGGUGGUGUUGCCGGUCUACGUUACUUUAAAACCUUUAGGUCAUACGCUUUAGUAAAGUGUCAUAGGCGACUGUUUUGGGGCAAAGAAGAGCUUGAGUGACUUGACAGGCUUCUUUCUGUCUUAUUUUGAAGGUACUCCUCCUUUAAAUUAUAUUUACUAUGUUACAUGAUUAUGACAUUAUCCAGGUUAUAGUCGGCAUCUAGACUCACUACUCCCAUUCUGCCUUGUAAGGAAUGAUGGCUUCUGCCUCUAAUACCUUCUACUUCUCAGCACAUCAGUGCUCUGGAGGAGGAUGGCACAUUGAUGAUCCAUGGGUUGCUGCUCCAUGACACUUUAUGGAGCCAUUGUGUCCAAAUUCAGGGUACAUUAGAAUCAUUUAGAGUACUUUUAAAUAUGUGGACACCUGAACCUAAUUCAGUAAUCCUGGGGAAGAGUUAAGGGCUCUGUAUUUUCAACAGGCAUACAAAAAUUGUUAUGACGUAGUGUGGCAGACAUUGUCUAUUACUGCUAUGAUAUAUACACCUGGAAACACAGGCUCAAUUAAUAGGUCAAGAGCAGGGAGACAUCAAGAACUUAAAGAAAACAGGCCCUGUCGCUCUGCUUUCAGAGGAUGAAUCAUGAUUGGCCUAAACCAGGGUAUCAUUUAGGGUAACGGUAGCUACUAUAACAGAUGGACGCCUAGAAUCUCCUUGAAUUAACAAAAUAAAAAAUUCACUUAUUCUUCACAUAGCAACAGAAAUGGGUACUUGUCAGGCAAUGUUCAUGAACAUCUUAUGGCUCUCCAACUUCUCCCCUGACCUCAACUUUCUUCCAGCUUCCAUACACACACACACGCACACACACACACACACACACACACACACACACAGAGUGAGAUACAGAGAGAGAGAGAACAAGGAAAAAGGGGAUAUCCACUCAUUCAUUUCUUCAUCCUGGAGGACCCAAUAACUAUCACCCAUAUUCUAUUGGCAGGACCUAGUCACUCGGCUCUACCUGGAUUCGAGAGAGGCUUGGGAAUGUGCUUUCUUAGCAACCAUUCUACACCAUGAAAAAGAAACAGAAAUCUUUGAUAGGCAGGUGGCCACCCUGGCCAUGAGUAGUCGUGGUAGUCUUGUUACCCUUUUCCAAAGGUUUAUUGAUGGUAGCCACGUGACUGAAUCCUGUCUAGUGCGAUUUAAGAGGAAAGCUCCUAGGAAUGUUUUUUGUUUUUCUCACAAAAGGGAAAGACUCCACUAACAUGACUCUUAACCCCUUUUGGCUUCCACUUUUCUCCCUCUGGAAAGAAGAUGCAGUCACAAAGGCACAGCAAUCAUCUAGUAACCAUGAGGGAAAUGUAGAGAAGCCAACACACAAAACUUACUGUAGUUUACAAAAAAUAAAGAAAAAAAAA
Molecule: long non-coding RNA, 2729 nt
Filed under: Macaca mulatta (Rhesus monkey)
Lineage: Eukaryota; Metazoa; Chordata; Mammalia; Primates; Cercopithecidae
Description: lncRNA (ENSMMUG00000053751.1)
Source: RNAcentral